RNAcentral lists this ribosomal RNA (253 nucleotides) under uncultured bacterium. Its description in RNAcentral is "partial 16S ribosomal RNA". It matches the Rfam family "Bacterial small subunit ribosomal RNA", at positions 524 to 776 of the family's 1533-position model. The record is from RNAcentral.
UACAGAGGGUGCUAGCGUUGUUCGGAAUCAUUGGGCGUAAAGGGCGUGUAGGCGGUUUGUUAAGUCAUGUGUGAAAUCCCUCGGCUCAACCGGGGAACGACGCAUGAAACUGGCAAGCUAGAGUACCAAAGAGGGGGGUGGAAUUUCCGGUGUAGCGGUGAAAUGCGUAGAUAUCGGAAGGAACACCAGUGGCGAAGGCGGCUUCCUGGACCAAUACUGACGCUGAGGUGCGAAAGCGUGGGGAGCAAACAGG